GACGAACGCUGGCGGCGUGCCUAAUACAUGCAAGUAGAACGCACAGUUUAUACCGUAGCUUGCUACACCAUAAACUGUGAGUUGCGAACGGGUGUGUAACGCGUAGGUAACCUGCCUGGUAGCGGGGGAUAACUACUGGAAACGAUAGCUAAUACCGCAUAAUAUUGAUUAUUGCAUGAUAAUUGAUUGAAAGAUGCUAUUGCAUCACUACCAGAUGGACCUGCGUUGUAUUAGCUAGUAGGUGAGGUAACGGCUCACCUAGGCGACGAUACAUAGCCGACCUGAGAGGGUGAUCGGCCACACUGGGACUGAGACACGGCCCAGACUCCUACGGGAGGCAGCAGUAGGGAAUCUUCGGCAAUGGACGAAAGUCUGACCGAGCAACGCCGCGUGAGUGAAGAAGGUUUUCGGAUCGUAAAGCUCUGUUGUAAGAGAAGAACGGGUGUGAGAGUGGAAAGUUCACACUGUGACGGUAUCUUACCAGAAAGGGACGGCUAACUACGUG
This 505-nucleotide ribosomal RNA is filed under the name uncultured bacterium. RNAcentral's name for it is "partial 16S ribosomal RNA". It matches the Rfam family "Bacterial small subunit ribosomal RNA", at positions 28 to 507 of the family's 1533-position model. The record is from RNAcentral.